Molecule: ribosomal RNA, 574 nt
Filed under: uncultured fungus
Lineage: Eukaryota; Fungi
Description: eukaryotic LSU rRNA
Rfam family: 5.8S ribosomal RNA (bases 217-370)
Source: RNAcentral
UCGUAACAAGGUUUCCGUAGGUGAACCUGCGGAAGGACCAUUACCGAGUGAGGGCCCUCUGGGUCCAACCUCCCACCCGUGUUUAUUAUACCUUGUUGCUUCGGCGGGCCCGCCGUAUGGCCGCCGGGGGGCUUCUGCCCCCGGGCCCGUGCCCGCCGAAGACACCUAGAACUCUGUCUGAAGAUUGUAGUCUGAGUGAAAAUAUAAAUUAUUUAAAACUUUCAACAGCGGAUCUCUUGGUUCCGGCAUCGAUGAAGAACGCAGCGAAAUGCGAUACGUAAUGUGAAUUGCAGAAUUCAGUGAAUCAUCGAGUCUUUGAACGCACAUUGCGCCCUCUGGUAUUCCGGAGGGCAUGCCUGUCCGAGCGUCAUUGCUGCCCUCAAGCACGGCUUGUGUGUUGGGCCCCGCCCCCCGAUCCCGGGGGGCGGGCCCGAAAGGCAGCGGCGGCACCGCGUCCGGUCCUCGAGCGUAUGGGGCUUUGUCACCCGCUCUGUAGGCCCGGCCGGCGCUUGCCGAUCAACCAAACUUUUUUCCAGGUUGACCUCGGAUCAGGUAGGGAUACCCGCUGAACUUA